AGUAUCCGAUUCCUCCGCUCUCUUUUUUCUCUUUUUUCCUCGGAGCAGAAGAUUCUUCCCCAUAUGGCGGCAACGUCGGCGUUCUCUCCGGCCUCAUCAACGAGCGUUCACUCAACGGAAAAUUCACAAGGCUAUUAAAAGGGAUCUUAGGGAAGUCUGAAGUAUACGAAAAAUAAACUUUGGUGCCGGCCUUCUUGGGAGGUUCUUAUCGCUAGGCGUGGUCGCAUUGAAUCGCCUCUGUGAAGGCAGCGACUAUUGUUCUUGGUCAGUGAUCACACGAUUACCCCUUUCUCAGGCCUACGUUUCCAACCUGUUUUUCGAAUUCUUUCUGACUAUUUGCAGUGAUUUUUUCUAACAAUCUAGAACAAUAGUCUAAUUAUAUUGUUUCUGUUUCAAAUAAUCAAUAUGUAAUAUUGUGUUUUUUCAUUUAUUUUGUUUGCCUAAUUUUUAAUUUUCCUAA
Asparagus officinalis (garden asparagus) is the source of this 460-nucleotide long non-coding RNA. RefSeq lists it as uncharacterized. The transcript is spliced from 2 exons. NCBI's taxonomy places the organism in Eukaryota, Viridiplantae, Streptophyta, Magnoliopsida, Asparagales, Asparagaceae. The record is from RefSeq and is a predicted model, not a curated record.